AUUGAACGCUGGCGGCAUGCCUUACACAUGCAAGUCGAACGGCAGCACGGGAGCAAUCCUGGUGGCGAGUGGCGAACGGGUGAGUAAUAUAUCGGAACGUGCCCAGUCGUGGGGAUAACGUAGCGAAAGCUACGCUAAUACCGCAUACGAUCUAUGGAUGAAAGCGGGGGAUCGCAAGACCUCGCGCGAUUGGAGCGGCCGAUAUCAGAUUAGGUAGUUGGUGAGGUAAAGGCUCACCAAGCCGACGAUCUGUAGCUGGUCUGAGAGGACGACCAGCCACACUGGGACUGAGACACGGCCCAGACUCCUACGGAGGCAGCAGUGGGGAAUUUUGGACAAUGGGCGCAAGCCUGAUCCAGCAAUGCCGCGUGCAGGAUGAAGGCCUUCGGUUGUAAACGUGCUUUUGUUACGG
This 412-nucleotide ribosomal RNA is filed under the name uncultured bacterium. RNAcentral describes it as "bacterial SSU rRNA". It matches the Rfam family "Bacterial small subunit ribosomal RNA", at positions 30 to 444 of the family's 1533-position model. The record is from RNAcentral.